GGGGCCGUUUAGGAUUCGACGCCGGUUGCGAAACUCUAGGUGCAUGCCGACUUGGUAACAGAAGUCGUAAAUCCACUGUUGCAACUACUUAUAGUUGCCAAUGACGACCAAUACGGUGUUGCUCUCGCUGCUUAAUUGCAGCUGACAAUGCUCCUGGUACCUUCGGGUCCAGCAAUCAUCAGGGGAUGUCUGUAAACCCGAAAUGAUUGUCAUAUAGAACAGAAUCGCCGUGCAGUACGUUGUGGACGAAGCGGCUAA
RNAcentral lists this transfer-messenger RNA (258 nucleotides) under Pseudomonas sp. RNAcentral's name for it is "partial transfer-messenger RNA". It matches the Rfam family "transfer-messenger RNA", at positions 1 to 236 of the family's 374-position model. From Rfam's summary of the family: Bacterial tmRNA, also known as 10Sa RNA or SsrA, is named for its dual tRNA and mRNA-like properties. Its role is to liberate the mRNA from a stalled ribosome. To accomplish this part of the tmRNA is used as a reading frame that ends in a translation stop signal. Lineage: Bacteria; Pseudomonadati; Pseudomonadota; Gammaproteobacteria; Pseudomonadales; Pseudomonadaceae. The record is from RNAcentral.